This 512-nucleotide ribosomal RNA is filed under the name Stolidosoma sp. Pollet 0314. RNAcentral's name for it is "partial 16S ribosomal RNA". It matches the Rfam family "Bacterial large subunit ribosomal RNA", at positions 1819 to 2597 of the family's 2925-position model. Lineage: Eukaryota; Metazoa; Arthropoda; Insecta; Diptera; Dolichopodidae. The record is from RNAcentral.
GUCUUUUUGAAUUUAAUUUAAAGUCUGGUCUGCCCAUUGAUUAAUAUAUUUAACGGCCGCAGUAUUUUAACUGUGCAAAGGUAGCAUAAUCAUUAGUUUUUUAAUUGAAAGCUUGUAUGAAUGAUUGGACGAGGUAUAAGCUGUCUCAAAGAAAUUUUUGUAGAAUUUAAUUUUUUAGUUAAAAAGCUAAAAUGAUUUUAAAAGACGAGAAGACCCUAUAGAUCUUUAUAUUGAUUUUUGUAAUUUUUUUGUAGAAAUUUUGAAAAUUUAUAAAGAAAAAUAUUUUAUUGGGGUGAUGCUGAAAUUUUAUAAACUUUCAGAAUUUUUUUCCAUUGAUUUAUGAAUUAAUGAUCCUUUAUUAUGGAUUAGAAGUUUAAGUUACCUUAGGGAUAACAGCGUAAUUAUUUUGGAGAGUUCUUAUCGAUAAAAUAGAUUGCGACCUCGAUGUUGGAUUAAGAUUAAUUUAGGUGUAGAAGCUUGAAGUAUUAAGUCUGUUCGACUUUUAAUUUCUU